Molecule: ribosomal RNA, 349 nt
Filed under: Centrolene geckoideum (Pacific giant glass frog)
Lineage: Eukaryota; Metazoa; Chordata; Amphibia; Anura; Centrolenidae
Description: partial 12S ribosomal RNA
Rfam family: Bacterial small subunit ribosomal RNA
Source: RNAcentral
UCGCCAGGGAACUACGAGCAAAGCUUAAAACCCAAAGGACUUGACGGUACCCCACAUCCACCUAGAGGAGCCUGUCCUAUAAUCGAUACCCCCCGCUAAACCUCACCACCUCUCGCCCACUCAGCCUGUAUACCUCCGUCGUCAGCUUACCACAUGAGCGCAAUUUAGUGAGCUUAAUGCCCAUACGCCAACACGUCAGGUCAAGGUGCAGCAAAUGAGAUGGGAAGAGAUGGGCUACACUCUCUAAUAUAGAAAACACGGAAGACUACUUAUGAAACCUAGUCUAAAGGCGGAUUUAGAAGUAAAAAAAAAAAUGAAUGUCCUUUUUAACUGGGGCACUGGGGUGUGU